ACUCAAAUGAAUUGACGGGGGCCCGCACAAGCGGCGGAGCAUGCGGAUUAAUUCGAUGCAACGCGAAGAACCUUACCAAGGCUUGACAUAUACGAGAACGCACUGGAGACAGUGAACUCUUUGGACACUCGUAAACAGGUGGUGCAUGGUUGUCGUCAGCUCGUGUCGUGAGAUGUUGGGUUAAGUCCCGCAACGAGCGCAACCCUCGUCCUAUGUUGCCAGCACGUAAUGGUGGGAACUCAUGGGAUACUGCCGGGGUCAACUCGGAGGAAGGUGGGGAUGAGGUCAAAUCAUCAUGCCCCUUAUGUCUUGGGCUUCACGCAUGCUACAAUGGCCGGUACAAUGGGCUGCAAUACCGUAAGGUGGAGCGAAUCCCAAAAAGCCGGUCUCAGUUCGGAUUGAGGUCUGCAACUCGACCUCAUGAAGUCGGAGUCGCUAGUAAUCGCAGAUCAGCAACGCUGCGGUGAAUACGUUCCCGGGCCUUGUACACACCGCCCGU
RNAcentral lists this ribosomal RNA (499 nucleotides) under uncultured bacterium. RNAcentral's name for it is "partial 16S ribosomal RNA". It matches the Rfam family "Bacterial small subunit ribosomal RNA", at positions 899 to 1397 of the family's 1533-position model. The record is from RNAcentral.